AGGCAGGCCGGCGGGAGGAGGGAGUCCUGCGGGGGCGGGCUGAAGGAGAAGGCUCGGAAAUGGUAAGGAGUGACCGCCCUCUGCCGUGACCAUCUUUGAAAAUCUUGAUAAUGGUUCCUCGAGUGUGAGCGCCCCGCGUCUCCGUCAUGUGCCUUGGCCUGGCGCGGCCGCGCAGUGCUCGUUGAUAAGGAAGUGUUGCGCCCGUGCUUCCCAGCCUGAAAGAAGUGAGUGAACGAAGGUGAGGUGGCGGCGGAGGCACAGACCUCCCUCCUCGGCAGGGCCCUCGCCUUCCUCUCCCAAGACCCCACGUGGGCCCGCUUGCUGGAGGUGGUGGGGCGGGCCAGGGAGGUCGCGUGGGGCAGCCUCAUCUACCAGCUCCUGUCCGUCAUCUUCAUCACCUUCUUCGCCCCCGCCCUCAAGAUGGUCCUCCUCACCCUCAUCGCGGCCACGCUCAGGGUCAUCUCCGUCUACUUCUUCGGCGAGGAGGACAUGGCACUAGUGGUGGGCAACGAGGGUUACGUGUACUACGCCUACGUCCUGCUCGGCAACUACAUCGGAUUCGGCCCCAUCCUGCACCUCUUCAACAGGCCCGUGCCGGAAUGGGCCUACUAGUGCCACAGAAUUCUCUCUCUCUCUCUCUCUCUCUCUCUCUCUCUCUCUCUCUCUCUCUCUCUCUCUCUCUCUCUCUCUCUCUCUGACUUUAGUUAACUUACGCUCUAAGUAUAAUUAACUGUGAAUACAAAUAACUGUGCAUAUGGAACUCACUAUCCAGUUCACUGACACAUCUAAUAACUUGAUAAAUAAAAUGUUUGACUUCGAAAAGAGUAA
This is a long non-coding RNA of Eriocheir sinensis (Chinese mitten crab), 828 nucleotides long. RefSeq lists it as uncharacterized. The transcript has 4 exons. The record is from RefSeq and is a predicted model, not a curated record. NCBI's taxonomy places the organism in Eukaryota, Metazoa, Arthropoda, Malacostraca, Decapoda, Varunidae.